UAAUACACAGAAACGCAUAGAACUUGUCCAUGUUAUUCGUUUAACAUAAACCUCAUCAAAAGAUGAAAAAACAGAAUACAGAUACUAAAGCUAAAAUGACCUGCAAAUCAGUUUAUUCAGAUGACAAACACGACAAUAAACUACGUAUACUUGGAGCUGAUGGCCUGUAAAAAUUUCACUUGUGCAUGGUAGCCUUGACAGCCGGAGCGGUGGCAUGUGCUCUUGCAGGAGAUGCAGGCGGGUGUUUGCAAGGAGGGCCUCCAACGGGGGCUUUCUCACAUGGAUUUGGGGUAGAAGGAGUGACCGGACCCAUCUGCUGAGGACUUUCUGAAAGACCACGUCUUUUCUCUAUCAAGUACUCACGGUUCUCUCCUUCAAGAACCCUAGUAGCAUUGUGUGAUUGGACGCUCAGAAGAAAUGCAAGUGCUAUGACAGUAAAAACAAAGUUGAGAAACCUCAUGAUAGUCUUGUUGGUGAGGCAAAUAGGCAUAUGUAGAGGAGAUGGUGUUGUUCGUUAUUUAUAUGCAUGC
RNAcentral lists this long non-coding RNA (530 nucleotides) under Vitis vinifera (wine grape). Its description in RNAcentral is "long non-coding RNA (VVIN_LNC002088)". The record is from RNAcentral. Lineage: Eukaryota; Viridiplantae; Streptophyta; Magnoliopsida; Vitales; Vitaceae.